AGUCAAGAGUCUUUGGCACCGUUUUGGUGAGCGUUUUUCUUUUGCCUUUUGAGAGGCGAGGAC
This 63-nucleotide small RNA is filed under the name Agrobacterium pusense. Its description in RNAcentral is "Rhizobium pusense S-element". It matches the Rfam family "S-element". From Rfam's summary of the family: This family represents a group of S-elements from p42d and related plasmids. The S-element has multiple functions and is believed to act as a negative regulator of repC transcription, be required for efficient replication and act as a translational enhancer of repC. The record is from RNAcentral. Lineage: Bacteria; Pseudomonadati; Pseudomonadota; Alphaproteobacteria; Hyphomicrobiales; Rhizobiaceae.